UUAACACUGACGGGAACGUGCUCGCUGUGUCGUGAUACAACCUGGACAGCCAAGCGAGUGAUGUGUCCUAUGGUUCCCACCACGUAGAAACGUUUACCAGCAGCAGAGACAACGUCGAAAAUCCCAAAAUUCACGACAAAUGAUAGAAUGGAAAAUCUGGAGUUGAGCCUGACAUCUCUGGGUGCAAUCUCGAGACAUAUCGAUAAAACCAAAACGAACUCCGCAAAUAUAUGGCAAAACAGAUAUGUAGUCAUCAGGACAGGGGUCAGGACAGCCAAUCUUCUUUUUGCACGCCACUUAAGGCCACUGGUCCUGGACCUGUUGGAGAGGAACGCAGAGAGGAUCAAAGUAGACGCCAGGUUGAAUCAUGACCUCCACGAGCGAUUGUGUGUGGCUCAAAGCAAAGUUCUCAACAUCAGUCAAGAUGCUCCAACUAAGUAACCUGACAGGCCCACAUGUGUCAUGACCAUAUAGGUUCAUGACGAGGUAUUUCAGCAGUGCUCCACCUGUAUUUCCGAACCUCUUCUUCACCAGUGAAGAGGCUGCCUCCAUCCAGGAUGGACCCAUGACGGAUGAAGCUACAGGACCUGAUGGGGGCUACCCUCCGCUUCCUUCAAAGUGACUGUGAGAAGUUCCAUGUCCUGUGGGUCUGGAGUGCCUGUGUUUCACAGCUUCUCACCAGUGACAUUGUGGUAAGAAGUUAUACUGCCCAUUGACUUAAACCCAAAAAAACAAUAUUUCUGAGGAAGGUUCUUUCGAGUGAAGAGAUUUUACAUCUGAAAAUGAAAUCACUUGAGGAAAGACUGCAACUGGAGGUAGAAAAGGCUUUAGUUUUGGCCAAUCAGGGCUCGGUAAUGUGGUGGAAAGAGAGGGAAAAUAAGAUCACCAAUGGUCAGGUGGUGAUGGAGGACUUGGCUUGAGUGUUACUGCAGUGUGUUUGGUGAUUCUACUCAAACUGUCCCCUAGACAUGAGGAACAGUUAAGAUAAUCAUCCAUAAACAUACAAACUCUUUUUGUCUGAAUCUGAUGCUUUUAACUAUUUUGACUCCUCGUUUAGUGUAUUUUGGGUCAGUGUUUAUGAUGGCAACAUCCUCUUCUGUUAUUCUCAGACAUGUUUAAGGACUUGUGAUGGUGGAUUCAACCUGUCAAAAUCUAUGACGGCUUGCCAUGGCUGUGGCGUCCCAGAAACAUGUUCUUUUGGAAAGGCGAAUUGGAUGUGGAAAAACUGCUCUCGUUGAAUAUCUAGCUGCUGUGACUGGACAGGUUAAAGCCCCUGACAUCCUCAAAGUUCAACAAGUAUGUACCACUGCACAGAUAUUCCUGGAAAGUUUGUGUGGAAACCAGAAUCCCUGACUCAGUCAGUCUCGAAAGGAUACUGGAUUCUGCUAGAAGACAUUGAUCAUGCUCCUUUGGAUGUGAUAUCUGUUCUACUCCCCCUUAUGAAGAACAAAAUGUUCCAGGAUGCGAGAACUGCAUUCAGAUGGCCCCAGGAUUCCAGUUCCUUGCAAAAAUGAAGAAUGUUUUACACUGGACAAGCCUGGAAUCGACCUCAGUGUACCCAUGCAGCACGUUUAGAUAAAAUACUGGAUCAAACUGCAGAAAGGUCCUGACAAAAAAGCACCCCAACCUGGCAGUGGUGGUGGAGCGUCUUUUGGACAUAUACUGCCAGCUAACAGGAGACAGACACCAGGUCAACUCUGGUCUGCAAUGUUAUAUUGCAGGUCAAAGCAUAUUGGAUGAACACAUGCAAACACUGGAGGGCAGAGACUUUUAUUUAGUGAAAACACUUUUUCAAAAGUGUUUUUCAAACUUUUUAUUCACUAAAUAAAAAUCAAUAUUGUUUUAAAUGAAUUGAAUUGUUCAUUAGAGUUUUGUAGAAUAGUUUUAGGAUUCUUUCUUGUGCCUUUAUUCUAUAUAAAGUCCACAGAUUUUCUUUUAAGAAUUGUAAAGCUAGAAUUACAAUUGCAUAGUUUAGAAAAAUAACAAAAUACAACAAAUAAUGUAUAUCAUAAUGAUAUUUGUAUCAGUAUGUUAAAUAAUUAAGGGCAAUGCUUUAUCAUAAUUUUUGAAUAGUUAAUAUUAUCCGUGCUUUAGGGUCCCAAAACAAAUCCCUUGUUAAACAUCUGGGCAGAAUUGUAGUUGUACAUGUGAUCUGAAUGUUUAAUGAUGCACGUGGGCAUUUACACAUAUCUCUGCAUUGGAAAAUGACACCAUAGAUUCAUCAAUAAAUAAUGAGUGUCAGCGCUCAACUUAAAACCGAACAGUUGCUUUCAGUUAAACAAGUGAGGCACAAUGGUACUACAGUCAGACCCUUAAUGUCCAGUGUUGCAUUAGGGCAGAUUUAAGAUGUUUCAGUCCAUGUCCACUCAUCCAUUGAGCAGUUGAGCCUGUGGCUGUUCAUCAGCUUUCCGCUGGACCCUGCUGCAGUUGAUGACACAUCGAUCUCUCUGUCUCCACUGUGUAAACCCAGCCAGAAAUGCCGUUUGAGAUUUGGGCCAGGGCUAAUCAUUUACGUAACUAGCUUUGUGCAAUAGAGACCCUGCACUACUAAUUUAUAUAUAGUAACAUACCUGCCAUGUGGAGAGUUGAAAGCUUUUUUUUUUUUUUUCAUUUGUUCGUUAUUUUUGUAAUGUUUGUAUGCAUUCAGAACAUCGUACGGAAUGAAUUGUUGUUUGUUUUUGUGUUUUCCGCUGUGGUUUCAGAUUUGUUGUUUUGUUUUGCACUUAAGGGGGCCUCUAUAGUAAUUACUUGUAUAAUAGGCGCAGCAUUUAUUAGUUGAUUAAAUUACAUUUAGAGAAGCCAGGAAUAUGCCCCUAUAGGCUUUUGAAGGUGUCGGGUAAGGUAGCUGUUGGAUGGUGUGGAGACCCAACUGUUUCCAAAAUAAUCAAUACACUUCCUCCCUCACACCCCUGCUGACAUGAGGGCAUUUGUAGAAACCCAGUCCAAAAACUGUUGAAGCCAUCUACAUAUUUAUUCAAUUAUCUAUUCAGCCAAUCGUGUGGUAGCAGUUUAAUGUAUAUAAUCAUGCAAAUAUUGUAGCAAAAGUAGUGCAAAUUACAGUUUGUUCCACCUAGCGGCAUUUAGUCCCCACUGAGGUGGAAGGUCAUGCCACUGAAACGGCACCCCAACCCACAUCUGAACCAAACGUUCACUGUUUCUGAUACUUAUGAACACUUAUGAAUUAUGAAUUAAGUGAUUAUUGAAAGAGACCUUACCUGAGAGAUGCACAGUAUGAAGGAUUUUUUUUUUAUUAUUAUUUCUCUGCAUUGUAAAUGUUUUUGGAGCCAUGGUUUACCACUAUGUAACAUUACCAUUGCCUCUAAUAAAGCUUAUUAAACAUUUGGACUCUAAAGACACAA
Molecule: long non-coding RNA, 3359 nt
Organism: Xyrauchen texanus (razorback sucker)
Lineage: Eukaryota; Metazoa; Chordata; Actinopteri; Cypriniformes; Catostomidae
Exons: 9
Source: RefSeq, a predicted model, not a curated record